Molecule: ribosomal RNA, 927 nt
Filed under: uncultured bacterium
Lineage: Bacteria
Description: bacterial SSU rRNA
Rfam family: Bacterial small subunit ribosomal RNA
Source: RNAcentral
UGACGGUACUAUACGAAUAAGGAUCGGCUAACUCCGUGCCAGCAGCCGCGGUAAUACGGAGGAUUCGAGCGUUAUCCGGAAUCAUUGGGUUUAAAGGGUCCGUAGGCAGCCUUAUAAGUCAGUGGUGAAAGUUUGCAGCUUAACUGUAAAAUUGCCAUUGAUACUGUAAGGCUUGAAUGCUUGUGAAGUAACUAGAAUAUGUAGUGUAGCGGUGAAAUGCAUAGAUAUUACAUGGAAUACCAAUUGCGAAGGCAGGUUACUAACAAGUGAUUGACGCUGAUGGACGAAAGCGUGGGUAGCGAACUAGGAUUAGAUACCCUGGUAGUCCACGCCGUAAACGAUGGGUACUAGCUGUUCGGUCGUAAGAUUGAGUGGCUAAGCGAAAGUGAUAAGUAUCCCACCUGGGGAGUACGCACGCAAGUGUGAAACUCAAAGGAAUUGACGGGGGCCCGCACAAGCGGUGGAGCAUGUGGUUUAAUUCGAUGAUACGCGAGGAACCUUACCAGGGCUUAAAUGUAGUUUGACAGAUUUGGAAACAGAUUUUUCUUCGGACAAAUUACAAGGUGCUGCAUGGUUGUCGUCAGCUCGUGCCGUGAGGUGUCAGGUUAAGUCCUAUAACGAGCGCAACCCCUGUCGUUAGUUGCCAGCGAGUCAUGUCGGGAACUCUAACGAGACUGCCGGUGUAAACCGAGAGGAAGGUGGGGAUGACGUCAAAUCAUCACGGCCCUUACGUCCUGGGCCACACACGUGCUACAAUGGCCGGUACAGAGAGCAGCCACUGCGCGAGUAGGAGCGAAUCUAUAAAGCCGGUCACAGUUCGGAUCGGAGUCUGCAACUCGACUCCGUGAAGCUGGAAUCGCUAGUAAUUGGAUAUCAGCCAUGAUCCGGUGAAUACGUUCCCGGGCCUUGCACUCACCGCCCGUCAAG